UACGGGAGGCAGCAGUGGGGAAUAUUGGACAAUGGGCGCAAGCCUGAUCCAGCCAUGCCGCGUGAGUGAUGAAGGCCCUAGGGUUGUAAAGCUCUUUUGUGCGGGAAGAUAAUGACGGUACCGCAAGAAUAAGCCCCGCUAACUUC
RNAcentral lists this ribosomal RNA (146 nucleotides) under uncultured bacterium. RNAcentral's name for it is "partial 16S ribosomal RNA". It matches the Rfam family "Bacterial small subunit ribosomal RNA", at positions 340 to 504 of the family's 1533-position model. The record is from RNAcentral.